CCUACGGGAGGCAGCAGUCGGGAAUUUUGGGCAAUGGGCGAAAGCCUGACCCAGCAACGCCGCGUGAAGGAUGAAAUCCCUCGUGGAUGUAAACUUCGCAAGAACAGGAAGCAAUAAGUAAGAGUUAAUAUCUCUUACGAUGACGGUACUGUUUGUAAGCUCCGGCUAACUCCGUGCCAGCAGCCGCGGUAAU
RNAcentral lists this ribosomal RNA (193 nucleotides) under uncultured Acidobacteriota bacterium. Its description in RNAcentral is "uncultured Acidobacteria bacterium partial 16S ribosomal RNA". It matches the Rfam family "Bacterial small subunit ribosomal RNA", at positions 338 to 524 of the family's 1533-position model. The record is from RNAcentral. Lineage: Bacteria; Pseudomonadati; Acidobacteriota.